Otolemur garnettii (small-eared galago) is the source of this 480-nucleotide long non-coding RNA. RefSeq lists it as uncharacterized. NCBI's taxonomy places the organism in Eukaryota, Metazoa, Chordata, Mammalia, Primates, Galagidae. The record is from RefSeq and is a predicted model, not a curated record. The transcript is spliced from 2 exons.
CCUCAAAGCCCACACUCCCCACCCCCAUCAAUCUCUUCUUCAGGAUUGUGCAAGACUCUGGUUAUUGCACAGAGUGGCUCCUGGCAGCCUCUCCUGAUGGGCUGGAGCUGUGAUAAGAGGCACAUUUCUGGGAAGCAGGAAUGUGCUUGGCCUGGCAGGCUGGAGUGGACAGGGGCCGAGAUGUGAAACAGACCCUGUGUGCACAGGAAGACGCCAGGGAGGAAAACACUUUCCCACCAUGGGCCUGUACACGGAAGUGCUUGCCUUCCAUCUGCAAAGAAUGGGCUCAUACUUGAAAUUCAGCCUAUUGGGUAAUGUCUCGGGGCUCUGCAGCUUGACACGAUGAGACAGAACAGAGACAAGCACAAGGAGACAGCCCACCACGGUUGGUCUCACUCAUCUCAGAAGCUUUCCCUGCCACCAGAGAGCCUCUUAGGGCCGCAAUAAAUAGAAAAUGCAACUCUUACCUGGCUUGAAAAA